GAAUUUCCUUUCUUUCAAUCUUCAUUCUUUUCAUUCUUGCCCAAUCCAAUGUCAAAGAAUUUUAGACCUAAAGUCUAAUAUCACUCAUAUGACGCGUGGUAUUGAGAAACUAAAAUAAAAGAGCCUUAAAUAAAUUUAAUUUCGAGCUCUUCAUCUCCCACUAGAGCAUUAAAAUUCCCUUCCUUUCAACUUCUUUCUUCAAAAUCCAUCUCAUUUCUUGACUUUGCAAAUAAAAACUCAUUUAAAAUCACAAUAUACUUCAAAACCUCUUCUCCAUUUGAAAAAAUCCCCAAUUUUCUCCUCGCCGUCACUUUUCUCUUCUUCUUCCUUUUCCGGCGUGCCUCCUUUUUCCAGUAAUUCCUUUGUUGCCUCCACCUUCGCUGCCUACAAUAGCUUUCCGCCUCACCUUGCAUUGUUCGCUUGUCGCUUGCCGACGUGCUCUCACCACCAUCAGGAAGGACUCAGCUGUUGCACAUCGUCGAAGACCCCAUUGCUCACGGCGCUGCCAACAUUCACCUACAUGUUGUCUCACCAAUGCGUGUCAUCCCUCUAUCAUUUGAUGCUAUUGCUGCUUGUAGUGUCGUUUCUUCAUCUAGCGGGUCUGUCUUCUUCGAUGGUCUUGGAGCAAACCGAAACCCAACUGAUUCGGUUCAAACCGGACCCAUUUGCUUUGAUUUUUUUUGGUGAUUUGUGAGACGUUGUUUGUAUAAAGACCCGACCAUAGUAUUAGCAAGUAUACCCACCUGCAAAAGAAUUUCUGGUGUAUCAAAGGAGACAAAAAAAAGGGAUUUCUUUCACUUGGUUCCUCUCCUCAUCUUGUUAGGCCUCUUCCUGCAAAUCCGCAAGUGAAUAUACUUCUUCCAUCCAAGAGGCCAUUAGACGUUACUUUGGCUGCAUCUCUUAUACACCCUUAUUUGGCUCCUUCUUUACCAUCCUUCUUGACCUUCAGGAUAAUCUCCCUAUUUGUCCAUAUCCUCUUGAUGAUGUUGGUGAGCUUUUAUUGGGUUAUGUGGUUCAACCUUUAGAACCUUCGAGCAAAAUCAAGGCUCGGCCAAAAUCUUCUUCAGACUGGUGCACCUGGAUAGACAAACUUCAACCUCAUUUUGAAAAAAUAUGGAAGCAUCUGGGUAUUUUUUAUCUCAUUCAAAUGUCUAGGCAUCAGAUGUUUAUGGAGCAGGAUCUGCUUUGUGUUGCUUUGAGAUUUUGGUCUCCUUCUGUUCAUGCUUUCAUUUUCCUUUUUGGGCCUACUUCUUGACUCUUAAGGAUAUUAUUUUCCUCACUGGUUUGCCUGUAUUGGGGGAGAAACGACCAUACUGCUAGAUGCUAGGGAUCCAUUUUUACCAGCUCAUGAGGUAUCUUCCACUUUACAUUAUUCUUAUCACUGCAUUAUUCUAAGAUGGUUUAGAGGUAGUGGCUUACCUUCUAUAGUUGAGCACAUUGACUUCCUAUGGGUUCUCAUCAGUCAAUACAUUAUUUACCCUCUGUUUAGUAAGCCCUCCAUAGAGAUACUUCCUAUAGCUCGGGCCAUGGUAUUUGGGAGGAACUUCGCAUUGGGUACUAUGCUUUUGGCUUGUACUUAUCAUUCUCUUUAGUGGCUGUUACUGAUUUAUCUUUGUUCAGAGCUGCCUGUCACUUAUGGCUAGUUCAACUUUGGUUGUUUGCUUACUUUCCCACACUCAAAUUAGAGCCAUGUCAGUCUCCUCUCAUUUUCCCAAGCAUAGAGCUGAUGACUGUUACCACCUAAUUAGGAGUUGUUGAAAUCUUUACCUUUUUCUAUUCUUUGACUGAGAGAUCCAUCCAGCAUCUUGAUAUUUGGGGCGGUCGCGAUUCAUUGGUUAAUCCAUAGGAGUUUCAUUGUAUUGCUUCAAAUUCGAAUGCUUUACUUGAUCUUAGGACGAAGCUCUUUUAUGCUUUUACCACUAGCCGUCUAUUAGUUAUUAAGGGUUCUCUUUACUUCACCAAUGCUCCCUCUAUUACUCCUCCAUGAUUUGUGAGAUAUUUGCCUUAUUUAUAGCGCAGACAAUUUGGAUUUUACUAGGUGAUUCCUCAUGUUGACUUUUUUGCUCUCUCAAUCCCUAACCAUAUGACUAUUGAUGAUGUUCGAUAUUUAUUAGGACAACAAGGAUCUAUUUCUUGCUCCAUUAUUCUAGUCAGUAGAGCAGAGACUUUUGCUUUCGAGAGUUGGUGGCCUUCGCUUUAUUCUAGUCUUGUACCUAACACUCUUAAGUCGAUGCUGGCAAGUAUAUAUUUCUCUAAUAAUUUUAUUUCUUUUGAUAUUUUCUUCUUUCCUUUUUUAAGGGCUAUCUCCUGCUCCUCAGACUAAAAAAUUAAAGACUACAGCUACCCCUGCUACUUAAAAGAUGUCUAAUAAAAAGCAAUUUCUCAUUCCUCAAUCAUAGCUUUUUCUUCACCAAAGAUAAAAGUGUCUAGGCCAAAACCUCCUCCUAAAGUUAUUACUGAAGCUCCUUCUACUUGGUGAUGUUAUGAUGAUUCUUGGACUUGCAGAUUUUUUUAUGCUUGACCUAUCAAAUUUUAGGAUCCAUGUCUGAACUUCCAUGUUAUUCACUGGCAAUCCCUACUUCUUAUUUUCUCCAAACUCCAAGGAGGGAUGGUCAGAAAGGAAAUCAGCCAAUGCCUGUCCUUCCACAGAUUUUUGAGGAAAAUAAAUCAAUGAAAAUUCAGUUGAAGUCAAUGACCAUUUACCUAUUUUCCUCGUGAUAAGUGGUUUGUUGAGCAUGUAUUUCACCAAGUCUUUUUGAGAUACCAUAUACACCCUUGAUUUGAGGAGAUAAUGUCUUAACUUUGUAUAGGCAAAAUAAAGGGCUAGACAAGCCUUUUCAAUUGGUGAAAACCUGACCUUAAUAGAGCUUAAAAAUCUACUUAAGUAAUAAAUAGCCUACUCAUGACCAUAGAAUUGGUUAUGCUAACAAAAAACCUAUAGAUUCAUUUGCGGUUGACAAAUAUAACUUAAGUGGAAAUCCAUCUCUAGGAGGCAUUAAGACUAGAGUUUUUUCAAGUAGUCUUUGAUCCUUUCAGAAGCCUUCUGAUGGUGCUUCUCCCAUUUGAACUCUCCUACUUGCUUUAGUUUGAGUAGGUCUGAAAAUUCUUUGGUUUUUCCUGCCAAGUUAGAGAUGAAUCUCCUCAAAUAGUUUGAGUUCCUUUUUUAUUUUGUGGAGGUUUUGCCUCAAUAAUUGCCAUGGCCUUAUUCUUAUCUACCUCCACUCCUUGUUGAUGCAUAAAAAACCUAAGAAGUCUCCUGCCUGGACUCCAAAAGCACAUUUUAACAUAUUCAACUUUAGUUUGUGCUCUCUCAUUCUCUGAAAGCUUUUCCUUAGGUACUCCACAUGGUCAGUAGCUUUUUUAGGCUUUACUACUAUGUCAUCAAUAUAAACUUCCAUAUGAUGACCUAGCAUAUCAUGAAAAAUGGCAUUCAUGGCCUUUUGAUAAGUGGCACCUGCAUCUUUCAAUCCAAAAGGAAUAACAAGCUAUUCAAAUGUCCCUAUUGAUCUUGGACAUCUAAAAACAGUCUUAGAAACAUCAUCUACAACAAUUAAAAUCUAAUUAUAACAUGAAUAACCAUCCAUAAAAGAUAAUAAUUUAUUAGCAGUAGCAUCAAUUAAUAUGUUUGCUAUAGGCAUUACAUUGUAUUUAAAUCUCUAAAAUCAAUAUAUAGCCGUAGCUUCCCAUUCUUUUUCAUAAUAGGCACAAUAUUAGAAAGCCACUAGGAAUACCUUGUUGGUACGAUGAAGCCUGCUUUUAGCAAUUUCUCAAUUUCUUCCUUCACCCUGAGUUCGAUGUCUUUAGACAUUCUCCUGGCUGGUUGUUGAUAUGGAUUAAAUUCUUCCUUGAUGGGAAUGCGGUGCUCUACCAAGCUCUUGCUCAACCUAGACAUUUUUUCAUAGCUCCAUGCAAAGUAAUCCUUGAACUCAUGUAAAGUCUCCACAAUUUCUUUUUUCAAAUCUUCUGGUAAUAAAGUGCUAAUGUACUGUCACGUUUGGUUCUUCUAAGGUGCCAAUGUUAACUUCCUCCAAAGGAUCAUGGACUUCUAGUUUCAUAUCUUUAAAUUUCUAGGACGCUAUUACUAAGUCUUCAAUUUGUAUUUGCUCCACAUCAUCUUUUAGUUCUUUCUCAAAGAUUACUUAUGCUCCAUCCACCUCCUGAAGCCCCUCCAACUCAAGUCUCUCAAAAGUCUGCUACACAAAUAUUUUAAAUAUAGCGACUGUAGCUACUCCCAACUCCUCAUUGGAGUACUCAAUCAUCAAUCUCUUCUAUGAUAGGCUGAGACAUUGGACUGUAUGGCACGAUGGUUGUAGGUUUGAGAAGUGCUUUGAUUUGAUUCUCAGUUUCCUCUCAGCACAUAUAAACAUGUUUGGGAUCUGCAUUCUUUUUCCUUCUUAUCAACUUGAUUGGCCCAGAAUCCACACUAUAGUAUCUGGCUUCUUUUGCAUUUGAAUAAGUGAAAAAAGACUGCCUAUCUGCCCAUAUCACCUCUACUUUAUCACCUUUCUAAAAAAGCAAGAACUGGUGAAGGGAGGAUGGCACACACCAAUUGGCGUCAAUCCAAUCUCUUCCUAAUAGAACAUUGUAACUAGCAGCAGAAUUUACAACAAAGAAAACGGAUAGUGUAAAGUCUGACUUCCAAUAGUGAUCUCGCUAGGUAAGAUACCAAGUGUUUUAGUAAUCUCACUUGUAAAUGCUGAAAUCGGUUGCUAUCAAAUAUUCUUUUAUUUUUCCUAAAGCCUUCACCAUCUUGAGUAGUAAUUUAUUCACCACCGACCCAUUAUCCACGAGCACCCUUGGAAUAGGUUUUCCAUUAAGGUGAGCUUUUACGUAUAAAGGCCUUAUGUGCUUUGUCAUUUCCACAGAUGGUUUCUCAAAUAUUACCUUUUUUGGUUUGUUGGAUUGAGUGGCUUGAAUUAUGAUGCCACUAUAACAAUCCUCCUCUGGUAUUUCAAUUGACUGCCCCCUAAUGUUUGAUGCUCCUUGGAUCCCAACCAAAUCUCUUCAUUCGUUCCUUUAGACAUAAACGAGGGAGGUAAGGUCACAAUAGUAGUAGAACACUUAUAAAGGAUAGGGACCCUUUUUACUAUAAAGGUUCCUUCCACUAACUGAUCUUCAUGCAUAUUGUCAUCAGAAUUCCCAAUAGAAGAUAACAAAUCAUCAUUCUCAUCAGAAUUACUUGUAUUUUCAGUGGUCUUUCUGCAGAAUUUAGACUUUCCUUUACCUAAAGUCUCCGCCAUUUCCUGUUUUCUUUUCUCAUCAGCCUUCUAUCUUUGCAUUCUCCUUUCUAGGUCCUUGUCAAUGACAUCUUCAGGAACUUUUGUGUUGCAACCUAUGUCAUUGGUAACUUGGUUGCACUUUGGGUGGUACAAUAAACUUGGUUGUCCCUUUUGAAAAUUUGGACCUUGAGAAGAAAAUGGCAUUCUCCUCUAAAGUUCUUUGGAAAAAGGUGGUAUAGUAGUAAAUCUCUUUACUUCUUAGGGCUUCUUAGUGAACAAAGACUUCUUAGGAACCCAAAAUUUAUGAAACACCUUUCCUAGCUGAAACUCCACCUCCUUCCCCUUCUUUUGCUUUGCCUUCUUAUUUAACAAAGUCCUUAGAUAAAAAACUAUAGUGUUGAUUGGAGCUACAGUUGGGAAAUGAUCUUCAUUAAUAAGCAUAGCCUCCUUUUUCUCUGGAAACUUUAGGAUUCCUUUAUUAAUCAUGUCCUGAACCAUAUUCAUGAAAGCCCAACAAGAGUUAGUUGAAUGAUUGAAAUUAUUAUACUUAAAAUACUCCUUUUCUUUGAUUUCUUCCUUAAGUGGGAACUUAUGAUCUUAUGGAAGUUUGAUGAAUUUCUCAUUUAGUAAGAAAUCAAAUAUCUCCUCAGUUUUGGAGACAUCAAAUGUGUAUUGAGAUUAUGCAUUAGUAGCAUAUGAUUUCUUCCAGGUUUUAGGGACCUUUUUCACCAAAGAUGGGCAAACACAGCUUCCUGUAUUGCAGAAAUUAGCUACUGCUUUUAUGGGGAAUUGAUCUCCUGAUAGUACGUUCCAAUAGUAGAUUUUUUCUUUUGAUUUUCUUUUCUAAGUAGUUCUUCAUACCCUGUCACUUUUGCUGCAAAUUCAUAAAAAUCUCGAAACUCCAUUCCUUCAAAUUUUUUUCUAAGCUCAAUGUCUGAUCCUCUUUGUGCCAUCUUCACAAAUUCUAUCUCAGGUAAGAAGAUUUUGCAUCUAUUCAUCAUUUUUUUCAACCUAGCAAAGAAGAGAUUAGUGGUCUUUCCUAGCCUUUGAGUUAUCCUCGAUAAUUUUGCAAUGCAUACUUUAGGUUUAGCUCUUAAAAAUUGAGUAUGGAACUAUCUCUCCAUUUCUACCAAGUUAGGAUAGAAUUUCUUGGGAGAGUAGCAUACCAUGUGAAUGUAGCACCAAUAUAAACAAUUUAGAAACAGCCUCAAUUUGAAAUUUACAAAAUUUUCAUAAUUAGCUAGUUCAUCACACUGUACAGUAGACCUAGCUAUAUGUUCAAGAGUUGACUGACCACUUUCUCUUAAAAAUAAUACAAAGUUUGGAAUUUAGUAUCUUCUUGGAUAUGGAUUGUCUUUGUUAAUUGCAUUAGGAUAAGGCUUAUGGAAUUUUGGUUUUCCUACUUGCCUUAGACCUGGACCAUAAAGCUCUUGAACCACAUCUUUUAUAGCUUCCAUAUUCAUCAUCUGAGGCAUAGGUCAAACAAGAGGUCUUGGCUAAUAUCAUAGAUGCCCUCUAUUUAUCAUUUCUGGAGUCAUGCCCCCUAGCAUAGGAUUUUGCAUCCCUUCCUUAUCAUACAUCAGUUGUUGAUUAGUAGGAUUUGUAGUAGCAAAAAUUUAGUAUGGUAACAUAGUCUACCCAUAUGAGGGCGGCUAAUAGGCAUUGCUCCUCUUGGUAAAUUUUCAUCCCUCCUGUAAGGGGGAACACAUCUUUCAUCAGGAACAAGUGGGGCUUGGGGCCUUGGACCAUCAUUCCCCUCUUGAGAACUUGUAGAGGACUGCCCCCUUGCUCUGCAUUCUGCCCUAAAGUUUGUGACGAGACAUCUUGGCCUCU
Ricinus communis (castor bean) is the source of this 7052-nucleotide long non-coding RNA. RefSeq lists it as uncharacterized. The transcript is spliced from 4 exons. NCBI's taxonomy places the organism in Eukaryota, Viridiplantae, Streptophyta, Magnoliopsida, Malpighiales, Euphorbiaceae. The record is from RefSeq and is a predicted model, not a curated record.